GAUGAACGCUGGCGGCGUGCCUAAUACAUGCAAGUCGAGCGAACGGACGAGAAGCUUGCUUCUCUGAUGUUAGCGGCGGACGGGUGAGUAACACGUGGAUAACCUACCUAUAAGACUGGGAUAACUUCGGGAAACCGGAGCUAAUACCGGAUAAUAUUUUGAACCGCAUGGUUCAAAAGUGAAAGACGGUCUUGCUGUCACUUAUAGAUGGAUCCGCGCCGCAUUAGCUAGUUGGUAAGGUAACGGCUUACCAAGGCAACGAUGCAUAGCCGACCUGAGAGGGUGAUCGGCCACACUGGAACUGAGACACGGUCCAGACUCCUACGGGAGGCAGCAGUAGGGAAUCUUCCGCAAUGGGCGAAAGCCUGACGGAGCAACGCCGCGUGAGUGAUGAAGGUCUUCGGAUCGUAAAACUCUGUUAUUAGGGAAGAACAUAUGUGUAAGUAACUGUGCACAUCUUGACGGUACCUAAUCAGAAAGCCACGGCUAACUACGUGCCAGCAGCCGCGGUAAUACGUAGGUGGCAAGCGUUAUCCGGAAUUAUUGGGCGUAAAGCGCGCGUAGGCGGUUUUUUAAGUCUGAUGUGAAAGCCCACGGCUCAACCGUGGAGGGUCAUUGGAAACUGGAAAACUUGAGUGCAGAAGAGGAAAGUGGAAUUCCAUGUGUAGCGGUGAAAUGCGCAGAGAUAUGGAGGAACACCAGUGGCGAAGGCGACUUUCUGGUCUGUAACUGACGCUGAUGUGCGAAAGCGUGGGGAUCAAACAGGAUUAGAUACCCUGGUAGUCCACGCCGUAAACGAUGAGUGCUAAGUGUUAGGGGGUUUCCGCCCCUUAGUGCUGCAGCUAACGCAUUAAGCACUCCGCCUGGGGAGUACGACCGCAAGGUUGAAACUCAAAGGAAUUGACGGGGACCCGCACAAGCGGUGGAGCAUGUGGUUUAAUUCGAAGCAACGCGAAGAACCUUACCAAAUCUUGACAUCCUUUGACAACUCUAGAGAUAGAGCUUUCCCCUUCGGGGGACAAAGUGACAGGUGGUGCAUGGUUGUCGUCAGCUCGUGUCGUGAGAUGUUGGGUUAAGUCCCGCAACGAGCGCAACCCUUAAGCUUAGUUGCCAUCAUUAAGUUGGGCACUCUAAGUUGACUGCCGGUGACAAACCGGAGGAAGGUGGGGAUGACGUCAAAUCAUCAUGCCCCUUAUGAUUUGGGCUACACACGUGCUACAAUGGACAAUACAAAGGGCAGCGAAACCGCGAGGUCAAGCAAAUCCCAUAAAGUUGUUCUCAGUUCGGAUUGUAGUCUGCAACUCGACUACAUGAAGCUGGAAUCGCUAGUAAUCGUAGAUCAGCAUGCUACGGUGAAUACGUUCCCGGGUCU
RNAcentral lists this ribosomal RNA (1372 nucleotides) under uncultured bacterium. Its description in RNAcentral is "bacterial SSU rRNA". It matches the Rfam family "Bacterial small subunit ribosomal RNA", at positions 28 to 1381 of the family's 1533-position model. The record is from RNAcentral.